This 72-nucleotide transfer RNA is filed under the name Schizosaccharomyces japonicus yFS275. RNAcentral describes it as "tRNA-Arg (CCT) (tRNA-Arg-CCT-2-1)". It matches the Rfam family "tRNA". From Rfam's summary of the family: Transfer RNA (tRNA) molecules are approximately 80 nucleotides in length. Their secondary structure includes four short double-helical elements and three loops (D, anti-codon, and T loops). Lineage: Eukaryota; Fungi; Ascomycota; Schizosaccharomycetes; Schizosaccharomycetales; Schizosaccharomycetaceae. The record is from RNAcentral.
UUACGCGUGGCGCAAUGGCAGCGCAUCUCAUUCCUAAUGAGAAGGUUGCGGGUUCGAGUCCCGUCGCGUAAG